Molecule: long non-coding RNA, 3584 nt
Organism: Betta splendens (Siamese fighting fish)
Lineage: Eukaryota; Metazoa; Chordata; Actinopteri; Anabantiformes; Osphronemidae
Exons: 5
Source: RefSeq, a predicted model, not a curated record
UAUUAACCCUACCUGACAGGUGAGGGUGUCGUAGACCCUCCAUAUCUUUUUGCCCACCAGCUUGGACACUGGGUAGCCUGUGUGGUUGGACAGCUGCUCCACAAAAUACUGCAUGAAGAACAAAAGAAGAACGUCUCUAAUGCGACAUUGUGACGAAUGGCACCAUUUUGGAUGCAACCUGCAGGUGCCGUGCCUCCAGCAGAGGGUGUUCAACUUCAACGCUGCGGGCCCUGCGCUGAUCCAAACACCAGCCCGCUUUGUGCAGGCACCGGAGUCACUGCAGCACAAGCGACACGUCCACUGGAGGUGCCGAUGCGUGGCUUUACGUACCCGGUGAGCUCGGAGGAACCUCUGGUAGGCCUCGCUCUCAAACGUCUCGGUCAUCAGAGCCCUAAACCUCGGACAGUCUUUGCCUGGAGACCUCAACAGCUGGAGAAACGUAAAAGCAACAGCGGCACAUCAGCGUAAACGGCCACUUUAAAAGAAGGCCAUUCAGUACCUCUACUGAGGUAAACACAGUAAUGUGGUGCUGCUGAGAGGAAAUAUUCAUGUGGCUGAGCAGCCCACCUUGUCCUGAGCCCUGGGGAUGGUGUGCACUGGAAUGGGCCGCCACAGUAACUGGGGCAUGAUGGGAGGCGGCCGUCUGGUCGGGGGGAACAUCCCGGCGAGGCAGGCCUGGGCGCUCAUCAGCGUGCGCUCGUAGUCGGUGCUCCUCACGUAGAUCUGUGGAGCGAGAGCACGUGCCGGUGGCAGGUUUGACGCCGAUACCACAGACCUCAGCGAUUUUCCAACUGGGACACCAGGGCUUUUUUUAUAGAGAAGAGAAAAUGCUUGGAAACCCAGAAGUGUUGAAUUAGAACUUACGAGGCUGCGCGGCUCCGUUUCUGUUUUUAUGUAAUAAAGACGCUAAAUAAAUGCGCUCAGUGAAGCUGCAGUAUAUUCCGAGUGAGCUGUGUUUAUCCUAAGGUAUUCCCCUAACGCGAAGAGGAGGGGAUUCGGAGGAGACGAGGAGGCGAGGGAGGAGGAAAAAUGAUCCGUCUGGCUGUGAUCUCUUCUGACAUCAGCCUUUGCUCGUCUAUAUCUCUCUGUCGCCCCGUGUCAGGUUUUCGCACACAGUAAAUCACGCUGAUAAGGUUGGAUGUUCCUGUGAUGCAGAGAAUGCUUUUUCUCCCCCCUCCUUUUGUCAAAUUAAAACAGACGUGGCGGCGCGGGGAGAGAGGUACAGUACGACUUGACUGAGACUCAGGUGACAAAUUGCCUGUGACGGCUGCUGAGGAGAGUUGUUAUUUUUGCGGUAAUUGCACGUUUCAGUAUUUAAGAGGAGAGGCGGCGGAGGGGGGAGGGGGGGGGUGAGAAAUCACACCCAGCCGACACACAUGCCGUCCUGUACAUGUUGCAGCAGCGGAAAUGCACUCACCUCCCUGUUGUUGUAGUCGUCACCGAGAAGGUUGGCGUAGCGCCGCCUCAGGAACCUGCCCAGCUCAAACUGCUGCUUCAUUCCCAGCUGGAAGAAAAACAUCGGUUUGCUGAAUCGUGCCUGACAAACGUCACGUCUGCACGCACACGCAGCAGUGGAACUGCAGUGUGUAGGAGGGACGGUACCUCUGUGAGCUGUCCAAAGCCCUGGGCCCACACGUCCUCUCCAUGAGGAUCCUUGGGGUAGGACUCAAUAGGAGAUCGAUCGCCGUGUCUGAACACCUUCAGAGUCAACAGGGAUUUGUGGUCCCAAACGACUUCAUCACCAACUGUGGGCCGAAUCAAUGUCUCUGCCGACCCCCCGCUGGGCCGUGACACGGCAGCCGCCCUCGGCCUCCCCCGUUUGAGUCAGCUGCUGACACACGUGCGGCCCCUCAAAAUUGUGUGGAUUACCCCCACUUUAAAGCUCCAGUCAUGUACAGCGCUCUGAUGGGUAACAAACAAAUGGGAUAAGUGUAGACACACACACACACACACCUCUGCAGUGCUCCACACUCAUUAUAACUUGCUAUGUUGUCUCGCCUGAAAUUAUAGGGCCCGGAGUGUUUUCCCUUACUCAGCACACAUAUAUUGACAGGCAGCGGGUGGAGGAGCCCCUUGUGGCUUGUUUCUCCUAUAGGGCCCCGGCAGACGCUAGCACCACCACUGCACACAGGCUCUAACUGGGUGAGUAAAAACCGCUGCAUAAUUUAUGGAGGCCUUUAGAAGCCAAAAGCACCACAACAUUAACCAAGCGGAGUAAAACGCCGGCCCCAUCUGCAGUUAUGGUAAAUCAAUACUCAAGUGAGCAUAAUAAUCUUACAACAACAUCAGCUCCGUGGCUGGAAAAGUGUUUGCGUGUGGGAGUUCGUGCACUGGGGAACCAUUUGCUACAUACCUUCCUGCAGUAAUUACACAGGAAGAUUCUGUUUAUAAUGUAUGAUGAGCAACAAAUUAUUCACAGAAACAUAAUUAGUGUAAACCUGAGACUACAGUAUACGAAGCAUCUCCGGUGAGACCGCCUUCUUCCUGGUUCCCAUAUAAUGGUGCGGCUAUUAAAAAUCACUAUAUAGUUUUAAUAAUUCAGACGUUCUCUGUCGGUGAACCGCUCACUUGUUUCGCUAAAAUAAGAAACUCCUUUACUCUGCUUUUUCUCGCAGGCGGCCGUCGGGCCGGUCCGCUGGAGUGUUUCAUCCCCAGGAAAGGUGAGAAAGCGCCUGUCUGUCUGUUUGUGUCCCUCUCUCCGGGUCGUUAAUGGUAAAACGGUCCAUUUGUGACUUGAACAUGAGCAAAGUGUGAUGAGUGCACUAAGCCCUAAGACGAGGUCAGUAAACUUAGAAUCUGACCGAAAGCCGAAUUCUGAAGCCUGAGGCAAACAAAGGCGUCUGGUUUCCAUCGCGUAUAAACUCCCACUGACAUCUUUUCCAUUCUUUCCAUAAGCCUUCAAACUUUCAACCUUCUCUGUGCAGUCUCCAUGUAAACACUGCCUAAAUAGGCCACGGCAGCUCCGGUGCUUGGCUUUGGAUUAGCUUCCUUUCGCUGUGACUGCAGGCCCAUGCUGCUGUAUCCAGCACACCGGUGUCCUCCACAACUGCAUGUGCGUAUUAUUUUUUUCUCUUUUUUUUUGUGCUGCAGCCUUUAAAGUGUGAAGAUAUUAAAGGCGUUUGGGUUUUCAUGCCUCGGUCGGCGCGCAGGCGGCCCACAGCCUCUGAUGCGCCCGCGUCACAGCGGAGUUUAUGUUGUGUCAGGUUCCCCACAGACUCUGCAGUCUGUCUGUGGGCCAGGGGAGCUGGGGGAAUCCCUGGAGAAACACGCGCAGCUGAGAGGUUAUUGAAUUUGAAGGGAACAGACAGCAUAAGGGAACGGAGAGGCGAGUUUCUGGGAAAGAACUGCAGCGCAGCCACCGAUAACACAGGCAGACGUGGAUGCUGCUUUCAGGGAGUCUGCCACGUCCUCUAAACACCAGCCCGUUUCUCCUGCUUUUUAAUUCAGUGUCGACGUGGGGACGUAUGUUGAUGUAAGCGCCUGUGUAUGUUUGCGCUUCCUGCACGGGGUUGUCACUGUCAUCGUAAUCAAAGUAAAAAUUACAUGUGAUGGAGGAGUAAUCUGCAUUUGACCAUUUCUCUUUC